RNAcentral lists this ribosomal RNA (490 nucleotides) under uncultured bacterium. Its description in RNAcentral is "partial 16S ribosomal RNA". It matches the Rfam family "Bacterial small subunit ribosomal RNA", at positions 30 to 507 of the family's 1533-position model. The record is from RNAcentral.
AUUGAACGCUGGCGGCAGGCCUAACACAUGCAAGUCGAACGGUAACAGGAAGAAGCUUGCUUCUUUGCUGACGAGUGGCGGACGGGUGAGUAAUGUCUGGGAAACUGCCUGAUGGAGGGGGAUAACUACUGGAAACGGUAGCUAAUACCGCAUAACGUCGCAAGACCAAAGAGGGGGACCUUCGGGCCUCUUGCCAUCGGAUGUGCCCAGAUGGGAUUAGCUAGUAGGUGGGGUAACGGCUCACCUAGGCGACGAUCCCUAGCUGGUCUGAGAGGAUGGCCAGCCACACUGGAACUGAGACACGGUCCAGACUCCUACGGGAGGCAGCAGUGGGGAAUAUUGCACAAUGGGCGCAAGCCUGAUGCAGCCAUGCCGCGUGUAUGAAGAAGGCCUUCGGGUUGUAAAGUACUUUCAGCGGGGAGGAAGGGAGUAAAGUUAAUACCUUUGCUCAUUGACGUUACCCGCAGAAGAAGCACCGGCUAACUCCGUG